Molecule: ribosomal RNA, 947 nt
Filed under: Mycoplasmopsis bovirhinis
Lineage: Bacteria; Bacillati; Mycoplasmatota; Mycoplasmoidales; Metamycoplasmataceae
Description: bacterial SSU rRNA
Rfam family: Bacterial small subunit ribosomal RNA
Source: RNAcentral
AUGGGUGAGUAACACGUACUUAACAUACCUCUUAGAUUGGGAUAACGGUGAGAAAUUAUCGCUAAUACCGGAUACUUAUAUAAGUCGCAUGACUUAUAUAUAAAAGGAGCCUUAAAGCUUCACUAAGAGAUUGGGGUGCGGAACAUUAGCUAGUUGGUAAGGUAAUGGCUUACCAAGGCAAUGAUGUUUAGCGGGGUUGAGAGACUGAUCCGCCACACUGGGACUGAGAUACGGCCCAGACUCCUACGGGAGGCAGCAGUAGGGAAUUUUCCACAAUGGACGAAAGUCUGAUGGAGCGACACAGCGUGCAGGAUGACGGCCUUCGGGUUGUAAACUGCUGUUAUAAGGGAAGAAAAAGCAUUAGAGGAAAUGCUAGUGCCUUGACGGUACCUUGUCAGAAAGCAACGGCUAACUAUGUGCCAGCAGCCGCGGUAAUACAUAGGUUGCAAGCGUUAUCCGGAAUUAUUGGGCGUAAAGCGUCUGUAGGUUGUAUGUUAAGUCUGGCGUGAAAACUUGGGGCUCAACCCCAAAUUGCGUUGGAUACUGGCAUGCUAGAAUUGUGUAGAGGUUAGCGGAAUUCCUAGUGAAGCGGUGAAAUGCGUAGAUAUUAGGAAGAACACCAAUUUGGCGAAGGCAGCUAACUGGGCACAUAUUGACACUGAGAGACGAAAGCGUGGGGAGCAAACAGGAUUAGAUACCCUGGUAGUCCACGCUGUAAACGAUGAUGAUUAGCUGAUAGAGAGGUCUAUCGGCGCAGCUAACGCAUUAAAUCAUCCGCCUGAGUAGUAUGCUCGCAAGAGUGAAACUUAAAGGAAUUGACGGGGAUCCGCACAAGCGGUGGAGCAUGUGGUUUAAUUUGAAGAUACGCGUAGAACCUUACCCACUCUUGACAUCUUCUGCAAAGCUAUAGAGAUAUAGUGGAGGUUAACAGAAUGACAGAUGGUGCA